UACGAAGGGGGCUAGCGUUGCUCGGAAUCACUGGGCGUAAAGCGCACGUAGGCGGAUCUUUAAGUCAGGGGUGAAAUCCCGGAGCUCAACUCCGGAACUGCCUUUGAUACUGGAGAUCUUGAGUCCGGGAGAGGUGAGUGGAAUUCCGAGUGUAGAGGUGAAAUUCGUAGAUAUUCGGAAGAACACCAGUGGCGAAGGCGGCUCACUGGACUGGUAUUGACGCUGAGGUGCGAAAGCGUGGGGAGCAAACAGG
This 253-nucleotide ribosomal RNA is filed under the name uncultured bacterium. RNAcentral's name for it is "partial 16S ribosomal RNA". It matches the Rfam family "Bacterial small subunit ribosomal RNA", at positions 524 to 776 of the family's 1533-position model. The record is from RNAcentral.